Long non-coding RNA from Impatiens glandulifera, 252 nucleotides. RefSeq lists it as uncharacterized. The transcript is spliced from 4 exons. The record is from RefSeq and is a predicted model, not a curated record. NCBI's taxonomy places the organism in Eukaryota, Viridiplantae, Streptophyta, Magnoliopsida, Ericales, Balsaminaceae.
AAAUCCGGUCUUUAUUUUUAUUCAAACAUUGACACAGACCCAACAAGACCAUCCUUAUGGAUUUCUGUUAAUAUCCCAAAGCAUGAUCAUCCAUCUUGGUGGCCAUGGAGAACUUGGGGACCAAUGUUUCUUCAGCCCUCUUUUAAUUGCCUAGGAAAUGUGCCAUUGUUUUUCUCUAGGUCUGGAGGAGAUAUUCCACCACCCGCAGAUACGAGCAAAGAAGCUAAAGAUUUACACAGAGUUACCUUGGGA